AGUAGCUCCCGAGCACGCCGGAGGCCUGGCCUGUGGAUGAGAUUGUUCCUUAUUUCCCCAGCUUCAGCACCACAGAAGAGACCAGAGUCUACCUUGCCAGCUCCUCUAGCACCGACCACGUGCCAAUUCAUGUCCUGAAUGCUCACUUCACUUCUUCACCUUGCUUCACUUCACUUACUGCACGGGAACAGAAAAGCCUAGAGAGGAUGGAUUACCUGUGCGGUUGCCUCCCUCUGCAGAGUGGGCGUGUCUCAGGAGCUUCUCUUCUUCUCCAGCCCAGUGCGGCCUCGUGUCAUCCAUAGGACCCACCGGCAGAGGGCAGGGCCUGCGAGUGGGGCCAGCCUCCUGGUGACUCUCGCCUCCUCUUUUCCAGCGGACGCUACCAGAGGACGAAGGUCUGACUCUGGCCAACGGCCCAGAAUUUCUGGCCCAGUUUUGCCUGAGGAAGCCAACUGUGCAGGAGGUCAGGAUCCCGGUAGGGUGAGAGUGGGAAAGUUAACAUUCCCAAGAGACUCCAAGCAACAGGAUUUCCUGACCUGGGACUAUUACCUUUCUCACAUUACAUGGCCAGAUUUACUUCCUGCUAUUAUUAAAAGUACGAAAAAGAUGAAGAUAUGUGUUUAAUGGAAACAAGGGCAAGAGUUUGCCUGACUGGACUUUGAGGAGGCUGUAGGAUCAUGGCGCUAACGGCAUUUGGAGGGCUGGGAAGGGACUCUAGCCCUGGCUUUACCUGCCUUUGUCAUCAGCUGGAGCAAGCAACUCCGCAACCUCGGAGCCUCAGUUUCCUUUUCUGUAAAAGGCGGGGAGGGUGGGUGGUAAGUGCAAUGCUGAAUCAGAACUCAUAGAGCUGCUGGGUGGACAUGUGAAGUAAAAGAGGAGACAGCUUUUGCUCCUGAAGGAUGCCAUUUGCGUUUUCCUCAUCAGUUUGAUCUCCUCCAAUCAUCCAGCACCUCCAUCUGACCUUCUCAGCUGAGAGGUCCUCAGUGUUUCUGUGGCCUCCAGGAGAAAGGUCCCCCUCCCCGGCUGAGGCCAGGCUGAUGGCAGGCUGCACGGCCAGCCUUCCACAGUCACCUGAAGGAUACAGAAAAGGAAGAGCUGGAGGCUUCUAGCAAGCUGCCGAACUGUGUCCUCCAGCUGCGCCCAGCCCCCUGGAGGUAGCGCCGGAGCACGUGGUGGUGGCUAUGUAGGAAGGCCCCUUUCGAGCCGCCCUAUACUGUCUUUGGGAUCUGCUUUUUACUGCCACAGCCUAUGUGCUCCUGAUUCUUCUCUCAAUCCCUGGAUGGAAACCGGCCUCUGAUACUUGGCUCUGCUUCCUUGGAGGAGCUACUUAACCAUUCAGUCCUCUCUGCAGUUAGCUAUUAAGGUUGUCCUGCGAACUGAAGCAGAGAGUCCCCGCAAAGGGUGCAGAGUAGGGCACCCACAGAGGAGCCUCUAAAGCACUUUCCAUGAGGUGGAUGGCUUCUCCUCCCCAAGGGACCCAGGAAGGAAAGGAGAGCUGCUUCUGCCUCCCCAGCAGAGAGGGACCUUCCCAGAGAAGAUGUCUUGCGCCUCACCUGAUCUUGUUCUGAGAGUAGGAGACUGGAAGAGAAGCGUUCAACUCCCCAAACACAGCUGGGUUUGUUUCGUUUAAUCUCCCAGCCUGUUUUUCUGCUGUCCUCCUGAAGAAUGUUUAAUCUCACAGUUAAAACCACCAAAAGCGACUUUUUUCCCCCUCAACUGCUCAGUAACACAUGACCGUGCAAAUUCGUUUGGCCCCAGCGCCACAAGUCAUAAAAGGCAUCUAGUGGGCGGCAUGAGUCAAUCAGGCCUUUGGACGGUGACGUAACCACAGCUUGUCAGUUUCCCCAUCCAGGCAGCCCCAAUCCCCCAGUGCAGACAUCUGGAGCCAGGGAUUGACAAGUGGAUUCCAGGAUUGGGCCCUGCCUCCCGCCCUGUUCAGUUCCAGCCCAGCCACGGCCGCCGCCAACGAGGACACGCACUGUCUUUCUGCACAUUCCCACGUACACACACCCCCGCAGCCCCCUCUCCACUCAUUCCUGCAUUUCCGGCAAUGUGAAUUCUGACAGCUCGGGCAGUGUCAGCCUCUCCGGUGCAUUCCUCACCACACCACCUCACUGCUCCCGAGCCUGCUGACAGCACUCCCCGCCAUACCUACCAAGCCGAAGGUGCAAGGAACCUCUUGAUCCCCACUGUGUCUUUGUCCCAGGGCCACAGCAAAAUAGCACCCCCCUCCCCCACACACCCUCUAGCCUAAUUUAUUAGACUUUUAAACACAUUUAUUUACUGUGAUAUCUACACCACACCAAACAUCUGGAGGGAAACCGGGAGACAAUCCACCAGGAAUUUAAAUGUUUGUUCUGCAAUGUAACUUUGAAAACCGAACCAGGAAAACUUGACAUCUUUAGCCAAUUGCUUGGUGGAGUGAAAUCCAAUGGGAUAUUGGGGCCUGCAAAGGAGAAGAGGAGAUCCGCACAAACCCGUUCCUGGCUGCUGCAUUCACCUCCAGCGUUUGUGAUGCCCCAGAGCACAGAACUCCAGGGAGCCCACGAUGCAGGAGAGUUCAGCGACAUUCACUGAGUACAAGAGAAGACUGUUGGGAGGCACCAAUGGACUUUGCAACUGGAGAUCUCCCAACUGGACCAUGUCACUGUUAUGUUUAAUUUGCACUGUGCACAGUAGGUACCCAGUCAACGUUUGUCGAAUUCCAUGGACUGGGCCUUAUACCUCCGAGGAUUUUUCACAGCAGUAGCAUGUGCACAUGCACAGAACGAGAACACAACCAAUGCUUGUUUGCUGGUGAAGACCUGGUCUCAGUAUUUUGCCCAGGAAACCCUUUCUUCAUGGACAGCAUGAGGCAAGCUAUGGCCCUUGCUGUGGUCUCAGUGGUUCAGCACGGAAGAUGAAGAUGACGGGCAGUCUCAGAAUAUUAGCUUUAGAAGGGACUUUGGAUCCUUUUGAUUUUGGUAGGUGAAAUACUUUUUAAAAAUAAAGAAAACGGACUUUGGACAAAUGCUCUCAUUUUGUAAAUGAAAAAGUAGAGACAGGAAGAGUAACUGAUUUGUCCAAAAUCAAACA
RNAcentral lists this long non-coding RNA (3075 nucleotides) under Homo sapiens (human). Its description in RNAcentral is "HSALNT0305484". Lineage: Eukaryota; Metazoa; Chordata; Mammalia; Primates; Hominidae. The record is from RNAcentral.